Non-coding RNA from Danio rerio (zebrafish), 4315 nucleotides. The record is from RefSeq and is a predicted model, not a curated record. NCBI's taxonomy places the organism in Eukaryota, Metazoa, Chordata, Actinopteri, Cypriniformes, Danionidae.
GCAAACCAUUUCCUCUGCUAGAAAAAGACUCUUCGUUGACUGUAAAUAUACUUUAUGAAAUCUAAAUGGAUUUAAACAACAUUCAUUUUAAGGGGCUGAUUCACUGGCUAGUUUAGUCUUCCUGUAGGUACUGAAUGUGCGCGUAUGAUAUUGCUUUAUUGUCUUCAACUCAUCACAUUACGCCAUCACAAAAUAAGCCAUUUCUUCCAGCGGUGCACCUGUUCCGCAAGUAUUUGAUUUGAUGCUGUUUUUAUUUUUAUUUUUUGUAAUCGACCUGCAAUGGCACAGGCUUGAAAAUGUCAAUCCUGCCAGGACAUUGAGCUUUCGACGCGCGCAUGACCUUGCUAAUACCCAAUUCGCAUCUCAGGUUUAAUCUUAUCCACUGUAAACAUAAAGCGGUUUUCACACGAGGGCGGCGUUCAUCUCGGCGAUGACGUCACGAGGCAGGUCUCGCUCGAGUCCACCAAUGAGACGAGGCAGCUCGGUUCUUUUGGGGCACAUCGCAAUGAAUGGGUGUCGGUGCUUUACAAGGCAAAGGAGCAACCACAACAAGACGCGGAUAUUGAGGGGAUGCGGCAUCGGCACGCGGGAGCUGUCCACCAGCAGCACAGCAACGACGCGGACGCUCGUGACAGUCCAAAAGAAGCAUCUUGUCCAGUCGCCCCGCUCUUUAGUCUGCCGCCCCCACCGCCAUCGAUAAAGGAGCGAUCCACCUCCUCACAUAACAACCGACAUGUACAGUCCUGUCCGGACCGCGGCACCAGGAACGACGAGUGCCUGCCUUUGACCGGCCACUGCAGCCUCGCGCAGGGAGCGCGCACCGACCGUCAGCCUUACGACAACCUGCCGCAUCCGUUUCCAGGGGCCUCAUCUGGCUAUCAGUGUCAUUCAGAGGGGAGCCAUUCUCCUCAGCAGAGAUCUUCCGUUUCCCCGCAGCCCUCCCCAUCUGAACUGCUGCCGCCGCCUCUGCCUUCGCACAUUUCUAAUACGCGGGAUACGCGCCAAAAGAGUGCUAAUUACAAACAAGACAUCGUACAGCGUCGCGUCGGGGAGGGGGGGCGUCGAGACCAAUACCAGUUGCUGCAGCAACCUUGUUAUAAUCAACAAAGGGACCCCUCCUUUAAGCCACUCUUGCCAAACUCUAGUCAAGGACACGUAAAUGAGCGCGAGGAAGCCGAGAAGGAGAGGCAAUUAAUUGAGCCUCAGGCUCAGUUACUGUUGGGCAGCAGCUUGCCGAUCAACUACUGCAUCGGCGGAUCGGGGCAAGUGUGCAGAAACAAGCAGGCGCCGCUGUUGCAGCAUCAGCAUCAGCAGGCUCGCGCGCAGGAGCACAGCCUCCAGCAGCAGCACAGUGACCGAGACAGCAGGUACCAGGAGGGGAAAAUCGCGCUCUGUCAGCCGUAUCGAUGCGAGCGCGCGCUGGAGAGAAACUCGUCCGUGUCUAGUAGUGAAGCCAGCAGCCCCCCGUACGGCUCCAGCAGUCAACUGUGGCCAGAGCCCCACGACAAGGAGGAGAAGAAAAAUCGGGCUGGCAAACACAAGGCACAUGCUGAGCGAACAAAGCUGAGCCAUGCUGGAUCCAAGGCCUCCGUCUCCGAGAGCAGUCACUCACUCCCUCAGAUAGCCAUGAACAGCUGCAAGUACAAUGGAGGAGUGGUGAGACCACUGGGCAGCCUGGCGGCGUCAAGACGCAACCUGGCGGAGCAUGACUCUGAGACCCAGCCGCUCCAGACGCUGCACAGCUCCGGCCUGGAAGUGGUCGUCUCCAAGGGCGGAGGCGAAGACCCCAGCAAGGCGUCCAAUGAGAGCCUGGUCCGAGAGAGCGGCAACGCACCGCAGAAGAAGAAUAAAGAUAUUGGCUACAAACUGGGCCACAGGAGGGCACUUUUUGAGAAACGCAAGCGGCUCAGUGACUAUGCCCUGAUAUUCGGCAUGUUUGGGAUCGUUGUGAUGGUAACAGAGACUGAACUAUCCUGGGGGGUUUACACUAAGGAAUCUUCAUAUUCAUUUGCACUGAAAUGCCUUAUCAGCCUUUCCACUGUUAUUUUGCUUGGUCUUAUAAUAAUGUACCACGCUCGGGAAAUACAGCUGUUCAUGGUGGACAAUGGUGCGGAUGACUGGAGGAUAGCCAUGACAUACGAGCGCAUCUUUUUCAUUGUCCUGGAGCUGUUGGUGUGUGCCAUUCACCCCAUCCCGGGCCAGUACGUAUUCACAUGGACGGCCCGGCUGGCUUUCACCUACGUGCCCUCCGUGGCCGACGCCGACGUAGACAUCAUCCUCUCCAUCCCCAUGUUCCUUCGCCUCUACCUGAUAGGCCGGGUUAUGCUCCUUCAUAGCAAACUGUUCACGGACGCAUCUUCACGCAGUAUAGGUGCCCUCAACAAGAUCAACUUCAACACACGCUUCGUGAUGAAGACCCUCAUGACCAUCUGUCCGGGCACCGUGCUGCUGGUCUUCAGCAUCUCCUCCUGGAUCAUCGCGGCCUGGACCGUGCGGGUCUGUGAGAGGGAUGCCAUGUAUCAUGACAAACAAGAAGUCACUAGUAACUUUCUUGGAGCUAUGUGGCUAAUUUCCAUAACUUUCCUAUCAAUUGGCUAUGGAGAUAUGGUCCCUCACACAUACUGUGGAAAAGGGGUCUGCCUUCUCACAGGAAUCAUGGGAGCUGGCUGCACUGCACUUGUAGUCGCGGUAGUAGCCAGAAAGUUAGAAUUGACAAAAGCUGAGAAACACGUCCACAAUUUCAUGAUGGACACCCAACUUUGUAAACGAGUGAAGAACACAGCUGCCAAUGUACUCAGGGAAACAUGGCUCAUCUACAAACACACAAAAUUAGUGAAGAAGAUAGAUCAUGCCAAAGUGCGCAAACAUCAGCGCAAGUUCUUGCAGGCCAUUCACCAAGCUCAGAAAACCAAGCCCACAGCAAGCAAUGCCAUUCUCACAAGCAUUUUCAGCGGUGUCACAUAUACCUCUACCUCAGCUGUUUGCCACUUCCUUUGACCUCAUCCACAAACGAGGCUCUCGGAUGGCUUUUUUUGUGAAUGGUUGACGCGUGCCUGCAGGGGCAAAAGGAGAUGUGUCAUGUUUGAACGUUAAGUUAAGAGUUUUCUCUUCUUUACAUUUCAUAGAUUGGGUUUGCAUGACUGGUAUGGCAAACAGGACUGUGAAUGCUUGCAUGCAGGCCACUCUCUCUCUAUCCCUCAUCCUUAUCAAGUCUUCCUGACAGGAAUCUGUUACUCUUCCCUAACGUCCCCCUCCUCCCAACCCCCCGUCCCUCCAUAACCCUGCCUCCUCCCAGGCUCCGCAGUGUGAAAAUGGAGCAGAGGAAACUUAAUGACCAGGCCAACACUCUGGUGGACCUGGCGAAGACACAGAAUGUGAUGUAUGACCUGGUGUCAGAGCUGCAGGAGCGCAGCGAGGAGCUGGACAAGCGUAUUGGCACAUUGGAGGACAAGCUGGACGCAGUCACCGGCAGCCUGCAGGCUCUGCCCUGUCUGAUCUCCCAAGCCAUAACUCAGCAGCAGCAGGAUCUUCUGGAUGGCUUCGUGCACCGCUUCCGGCCCCCAUCACUGGGCUCAGACCGUUCCUGGACCCCAUCUAGACGGCGGCGCUCCCCCUCCACUGCCCCGCACACCUCCUCGGACAGCGGCUAACAGCGGCCUGGACAAGCUCCCCGCUUCCUAUGGUCUCAGACUUCUUCAUGUUUGAUGAUCAAGCCGAGAUGAAGAACUCGUAUUAAUAAGUAGAGAAGAUUUAUCAAAAAUAGUAGAUAUAUGGUUUAUGUUUAGCCAUUGUAUGGCUGUUCAAGUUAGCUUUUUUGUAAAGCCCUCAUAUAUUUACAAGACUGAGUUCAGGAAGCCGGAGUGAGUCCAGGAAACUGGCCCUACAAACUGCGAAAACACAGGGUCCACGGGAAGGUAAGCAAACCGACAAAGGAGCGAAGCACCCACACAGAAGAGAUUCACGGGACAUCUCUGCGAGCACCUCUUGAGUGUCUGGGUGCUCGGCGAUCACUUCAGUAUCCAGCUGGAGACGGAGGAGCACAUGACCUUACUACUGAGUAGAAUAAUGCAGGAAUGCCAACCUUAAGGAUUCAGUUCCCUUGCUCCUUCAAGGGAAAUUGGGUGCAACUAAUCUUUUUUUAGUUACAUAUUGGCAUGUUAUUUUUUUCAGUGCCUGAAUGUAUAGAUUGUGGAGGGUUGUCCAUUUACAAAUUUUGGAGCGAGUUUUUUGUACGAUGUUAACACAAGCAUUGCAUUCCUUUUUCAGAUACAUUCCUCUUGAAGACAAUUGAACUCGUCUGUCUUAACAAAUACCA